Molecule: long non-coding RNA, 2161 nt
Organism: Cucurbita moschata (crookneck pumpkin)
Lineage: Eukaryota; Viridiplantae; Streptophyta; Magnoliopsida; Cucurbitales; Cucurbitaceae
Exons: 2
Source: RefSeq, a predicted model, not a curated record
UUAACGUUUCUGAUGAGAUUUUCCUUUUCGUUUCUGUGCUCUUUAAAAAUAGAUAUCUUAUUGACAAGUAGUAAUGACAAGUUUUGUUGUUGUUGUGCAUAAUACAUCUUGUUUCUUAUUAAAAAAAUGAUAACGAGGCUUUUUGACGUUGGGCUUGAGAGAGUUUAUCUGGUACCACUUGGACUUCUAUUGUGGGUACAUGUGUCAUUUGAGCUAUGCGUUUUUUUUUUCGUUACUGAAGGUAACUAUGUAAUUAGUUCUGAAAUGAGGUGCAAGCUUUGAAACUUCAAAAUUGUAGUAAGAUUUUGUUGAUUUGACUUCUUUAGGUUUGAAAUUAGUUUGUUAGCGUUUUUUAGGUUUCAAAUUAGUUAGUUAUCCUUCAAAUUAUCCUUGGUAUUGAAAAGUUAUGAAUAAUGUCUGUUUCUUAUUGUCGAAUAUGUAUGUGGUAUAAUUUUUAUUCAAUGAGAUGUCGAUCUUUUGAAGGAUUGAAUAUAUUUCUCUUGUAUGUUUCUUAUAUUAAUAUAUGAAUCAAGUCAUUAUGUGUGAUAUAUAUGUAUCCUCACAAAGCACGAACAGUAAUGAUCAUAUUCAUAGAUGUUCCUUGGAGUGAACUCAAAUAGAGGCAUUAAAAUAUGUUUAUGAUAAGAGACAAUUUCAUUGAUGAUUGAGAUUUACAAAAGGGAUUUAAUAUCCAUGGUGUUUACAAAACACCUUCUCGAUUUGAAAUGAGGGAGGUAUAAGUGUAGGAAGUAAAAUAUUAGACCGUUUACACCAAGAUAUAGCUUAGUAAACAACAUUAUCGAAAAUUUUUGUAUAAGUAUGUGUCUUUUCUGCAAAUAUUCUUUGAUUCAUUUCUUUCACAGAUUCCAAAAUAAAGCCAUGAUGAGGUUUUUCCCUAGUAGGGCUUUUGCAUUCUAGAAAGGGUGGUACGUAAAGGCUAUGUCCAAUACAUCCUUUACCUCCCUAGAAAAUGUGAUAUGCCACUUGAAUAUAUUGAGAAACGUUGUCCAAAAAUUCUGAGCGUAUGUGCAUUGCAUAAAUAAUUGGCUUUGUGAUUCAUUUUUUUCUUGCACAAUGGACACCCAUUUGGAAAAAGGUAAAGGCUAUGUCCAAUACAUCCUUUACCUCCCUAGAAAAUGUGAUAUGCCACUUGAAUAUAUUGAGAAACGUUGUCCAAAAAUUCUGAGCGUAUGUGCAUUGCAUAAAUAAUUGGCUUUGUGAUUCAUUUUUUUCUUGCACAAUGGACACCCAUUUGGAAAAAGAGUGAUGUAAGACCUUUUUUGAAGAUUUUCACUUGUGUUAAUGCCUUUAUGCGCUAUUUUCCAAAGGAAAAACUUCACCUUUUUAGGGUGAUGUCCUUUCUAUACCGUCUUUGCGAGCGUGAGAUUUGUUGCUUCUACUUUUUUCCCAUGUCCAUCAUUAAGGAUUUUGUAGAGAAGACCCCGUCAACACCGGGAAGCCAAGUCAGUGAGUCUGCUUCAUUUGAAAAUACCACAGGGCAAGGUCAAGGAUUAAUUCAGCCCAUUUCGUUGCUUCGUUAUCCUUUAAAUUCCUACCAAGCUUCAGGUUCCAAAAUUUGUUGAGAACAUUCCACGUUUCUUUGAUCAUGGCUUUUUUGCUAUGAGAGAGAGUGGAUACCGCAGGGCUAGCAUGGUGUUUUCAUCCAUGGGUAGGUCCAAAAUGAUGCACUUCCUUCAUCACCCACCCUAUGACAAGUGAAUGAGGUUUUGAUGUUUCUUUACUUACUUCCAAGGCCCUUUUGUAGAAGAUGGAGGGGGUUAAUUUUUGUUUGAUGUAGGAGUAUAUUUGGCCUUAUAAGAUUUCUCCACAAGGCCUUUUCUUUUUGAUGAUAUCUCCAUCCAUUGAGGAGAGCUUUGUUCUUCUUCUUUAUAGAGAAAAGACCAAGGCCUCCCUUUUUUGGUGGGAGGUUUAUAAUAUUCCAUCGAACAAGGUGUGGGCCAUCUUUCCACAAGUAGUUUAUGAAUAUUCUUUCUAUAUCCUUGGCCACUUUUUGUGGCAUUUCAAAUAGAGACAUGUAGUAACCGAGGAGGUUGGAUAAUGUGACUUGUAUUAGGGUCCGUCUUUCCGCCUUUUGAAGUAUACUAUGAUGACCAUGUUGACAGCCUUCUUUCUAUUUUUUCAAUAAUAGUCUUCCAGAAGG